This 470-nucleotide ribosomal RNA is filed under the name uncultured organism. RNAcentral describes it as "partial 16S ribosomal RNA". It matches the Rfam family "Bacterial small subunit ribosomal RNA", at positions 335 to 797 of the family's 1533-position model. The record is from RNAcentral.
ACUCCUACGGGAGGCAGCAGUGGGGAAUUUUGGACAAUGGGCGAAAGCCUGAUCCAGCAAUGCCGCGUGAGUGAAGAAGGCCUUCGGGUUGUAAAGCUCUUUUGUCAGGGAAGAAACGGUGAAAGCUAAUAUCUUUUGCUAAUGACGGUACCUGAAGAAUAAGCACCGGCUAACUACGUGCCAGCAGCCGCGGUAAUACGUAGGGUGCAAGCGUUAAUCGGAAUUACUGGGCGUAAAGCGUGCGCAGGCGGUUUUGUAAGUCUGAUGUGAAAUCCCCGGGCUCAACCUGGGAAUUGCAUUGGAGACUGCAAGGCUAGAAUCUGGCAGAGGGGGGUAGAAUUCCACGUGUAGCAGUGAAAUGCGUAGAUAUGUGGAGGAACACCGAUGGCGAAGGCAGCCCCCUGGGUCAAGAUUGACGCUCAUGCACGAAAGCGUGGGGAGCAAACAGGAUUAGAAACCCGUGUAGUCCC